UCCAAGGUCAAAAUCCUGAGCUAGACUAUAGAGCUACAGGGCAGAGAGAAACCAGUCCCAGGAAUGUGAUGCAGGAGGCAGGUAAAUGGAGCAGGGGAGAAGUGAAUUUGUGUGGGAUUUAAACCCGGCUUUGGAUUGUCUUGGUGCAGUGGGAACAGAGCCAUUAAGAACCCGAUUAGACUGGAUGUGCUGAGUUUUGUGCUUUUAGAGCAACUAUGAACGUGAAGCAGACUGUGAGCUGGGUGGAGGAAAGGAAAUCUGAUCAAUAACCAGGAUUGGAAAAUUCAAAUGCUAGCAGAGGCCAAGGGAAACAAGACAAAUCAACUGGGCAAGGACAGUGACCACGGCCUGAUUGAAAGGGUGGCAGCUUCCCUGCUCAGAGAUGUGGUCCAGGGCUGCCUGAUUUUUGUGUUUUGCACAGUCACCUUGGUUAUGAGCCUUGGCAUCAUCAGGAAAGAUUUUCCAAGACUAUAGAAAGGGCAAAAGAGAUUAUCUGGCAUCCUGUCAGUGGACCACAGGGUGUGGUCUCUUGUGGACUCUUCAGGGAUCAUUUGAUUCUUCUAGGAGUUUGUACCUUCGAUGGAUGUUGGGAUGGGGAGAUGAUCCUGUAGUAUCCAGGUGGGCCUAGGAUAAUCUCCAGGGUCUUUAAAAGUGAAAGAGGGAGGGCUUCCCUGGUGGUACAGUGGUUAAGAAUCUGCCUUGCAAUGCAGAGGACACGAGUUUGAUCCCUGGUCCAGGAAGAUACCACAAGGCGUGGCACAAUUAAGCUCAUGCACCACAGUUACUGAUGUUUGCUUACCCUAGAGUCGGUGCUCUGCAGCAAGAGAAACCACUGCAAUGAGAAGCCUGAGCACUGCUACUAGAGAGUAGCCCCUGCUCUCUACAAAUAUAGAGAGCCCAUGUGCAGCAACAAAGACCCAGCACAACCAAUAAAUAAAUAAAUAGUGAAAGAGGGAGACAGGAGAGUCAAAGAAGAUGUGACAUUGCAGUCUGAGAACCCGGAGUGCUGCGGGAUGAAAAAGACUCAACCCACCAUUACUGCCUUGAAGAUGAAGGAAGGGGACCAGGAGCCAAAGGGUGGGGGUGGCCUCUAGAAGGUGGAGAAAGCAAAGAAAUGGACUCCCCACUAGAAUCUUCAAAGAGAACACAGCUUUGCUGACACCUUGAUUUUAACCAAGUGAAAACCAUUUUGGACUUCUUCCCUCCAACUGUAAGAUACUCCAAUUAAACUGUAAGAUAAUCAAUUUGUGUUGUUUUAAGCUACCAAGUUUUUAGUAAUUUGUUAUAGCAACAAGAGAAAACUAAUAGCAGGUUUGGCUUUUGUUGUUGUUUGUUUGUUUUCAUAACAUAUAUCGACUCUAUGAACCGUAGAGGUAGAAGUUAAAUUGUAGAAAAUUGAGAGAAAUACAAAUACUUCCUGUCCAUAGUUAUGCAGAUUAUUCUGUUCAUAGAACUUGAAAAAACACAUUGUCUAGAGUGUUAAAUUCUCAUUUGAAUUUUAACAUCCUAUUGGUUUUUUCAUUAAUCAUAAGUUCAAUAAAACCUUUGAUGUGUUAAUUUUAUAUUU
This is a long non-coding RNA of Cervus elaphus (red deer), 1567 nucleotides long. RefSeq lists it as uncharacterized. NCBI's taxonomy places the organism in Eukaryota, Metazoa, Chordata, Mammalia, Artiodactyla, Cervidae. The record is from RefSeq and is a predicted model, not a curated record. The transcript has 2 exons.